Ostrea edulis (European flat oyster) is the source of this 4316-nucleotide long non-coding RNA. RefSeq lists it as uncharacterized. Lineage: Eukaryota; Metazoa; Mollusca; Bivalvia; Ostreida; Ostreidae. The transcript is spliced from 4 exons. The record is from RefSeq and is a predicted model, not a curated record.
GAAGAAAUAAAUGAAGUCUUGUUGUUACACACUUUAAACGUUUAAAGGUAACUAUUUAACAAUGAUUCUGAGGUUUUAUUUGUCACAUACACUAACACAUAAUAGUGCCAACAUCAUCUUCGUUUUGUCAUUGUCAUCUUACUUGUAUUAGUGACCAUGUAUUCAGCAAAUUUUAUUCUUUUUCACCAUUUUAAUUAUUUCAGGCUUUGAGGUGACACUUUUAAGGAAGGGGUACACAGUUUGUGUUGUUGGUCACAAGAACGUCUCACCUGGCACCCCCGAGUAAUGUGUACCAGGGGUUAUUGUUGGUACCACUCACUCUAAACACGGAUUACAUGUCCUGGGACUUGGCUCCUAAGGGACAUGGGGCCAAAAUAAAAAUAUUGUUUGUUUCCCCUCGCCCGACCGAGUCUGAAAAUUCACACCGACCCAUAAGUUUUUAUUACGCCAUUCUGGUGAAGUUUUUUUUUAAUUUUAAGAAAAAUUCAAGGUCGCUUCUGGUGCAGAUCAGUAUUUGAUAAUGACAAAAAUUUUCUAUAUCUUCUUUGGUUUCAAUCCAAAAUAAAAAAAAAUAAUGAUAAUACGAAUACAGGAGGUGUUCUGGUCCGAAAUCUAGAAAUUUCGCCGCCUCCAGCUGGAGGCGGCAUUCUCUGGCUGAUUUCAAAUACUUACAAGCCGAAUUUAAUUUUAAGCUCAUAACUAAUCAAUAAAACGAUUCUUCUUGUACUUACUAAUAUCGAUUUUAUGGGUUCUUUCAUCACAUAAACAGUCUCUUGAAAACAUUUUAUCAAACUGUCGAGCUUUGUUUUGAGUCACGAGACUCGUUUGCUCAAAUGGCAGUGAAAAUUCGGUUGACUACAAUUGUUGGCUUCUGUUUAAUAUCGAAUUUUGGAUUGAUAUUUUCUUUUAAUCGAUAUUAAUGAGUACAAGAAUCAUGAUUGUUUUAUUGAUUAGUUACAAGUGAGUUUAACAUUGAAUUCGGCUCGCAAUUCGGACUAGUGAUCUGCAAGAUCGAGAUGGAGAAAUGUUGUCUAUACGAGGAGCGAGGAAACAAGAGAAUUCGGGGCAUCCAGUGUGCAAGUUGUGUUCUUCAGUAGGGGAAAGUGUUGAUAUUUCGGACGGAUGCGAUAUUUUUGACAGUCAAUCGGAAGCAUUCUCAAUUUAACUUAUUUCUGAACUAAUGCUAUAUUUACAAACUGGAAAACACCUAAUUAUAUGCACAUGUGUAACUCAGCUCUGAUUGGUUGAUGUCAGCAUCCAUUUUGUUUGAUCGGCAAAAUCAAGUCCCGUUGAAACGUUUUCUGGUAAACUAGAUCUACCGAUAUCAUUUAAAAAUAUAAUGAAAAUCACUAUCAUAUAUAAAUUAAGAUAAUGUGCAAAAAACAAAAGCAUAAAAUGUCAGUGAACCAUAAAUAAAAGACAGCAACCGAGUUUACCAAUUUUAUAACACCAUGUGUCCAAAACUAACACCAUUGUCCAUAGUUGCAACAUUCUCCCUAACUUUAUUUAAGUGUUAGUAUGUGGUAUAAAUAGCAGAGAAAAUUCUGAUGAAACUCAAUGUUCGUCGAAUCAACCAAUAUGUAUACAUGUAGUCCAAUGCCUAAGUUUAGUGGUUAGAUAAUGAGGAUUUCCAAAAUACAUGAAGUACUGUCCGAAAUAUCGACACCUUUCCUAAUUGCAAAACGUGGCAAUCAAAGCAGAAUUUACGCGAGAACUGACUAUACGAGUUUGAUGAGGAAACAUGGAUGAUGUGCUUCAUGACGUUUGGUAUUGGGCAUUGUUAAUGGUUAUGGGAAUUUCAUAAUAAAUAAAAUUCUGCCAGCUAAAAAAAAACCUUUUUACCUACCUACCGACCUUCCUCUGAAAUUUAGGGUCGGGAGAGGGGAAACAAACAUAUUUUUAAAUGUGGCCUGACAUUUACCAACUGGCAACAUCUGUGACUCAAUCAUCUCAGCCUCAUUUACAUUCUCAAUUUUGGCAAUAACUAAUAUCAUUGAAAAUCUUUUUAGGGACUUGUAUGAAUGGGCAUAAGAAAUGUUCUUAACUGACCACUCCAUCAUUGCCUGCUGUUGGAGACUGAUCACUUCAUUGAAAAUUGAUGGGAUGUAGUAAUCAAUGGGCGUCAUCAUUUUCCCUGAAAAGACUAAGAGAAAUGGGACGUUUUAUGGCACAGCAAUGUCUGUAUGUCCGUCUGUAGAUGGGAUGUAUUAUGGUACAGCAAUGUCUGUAGGGGGCUGAGAUAAAUUCCCAUUCCCAAUGCUAAAAGCUCCCUUGGCCUCACGAGAUCAUGACACCCUGCAGUAGGAGCAGUUCCUACCAGUAUCUCUUAAAAGCAAACAGAAGUUCUCUUAGCAUCUGAUCUCUUUCUGGAGACAAACUUUUGUGUGGAGCCGGGUAGCGGUUACUUGAGAUGUCUGGCUGAUUGACGAGGAUAAUUGUCCUGCGACUCUGACAUUCUGUAGGACUUGGAUAGCUCUAUUGCUGUAGAAAAUGUCAGGUUUGUUAAUGAAAUUAUGUAAAAUGUUCCGUUUCUAUGUUUCAUUUAUGGAAUGGCUGGGGCAUAUAGUGUUAACCCUUUUUAGCUCACAUGAGCUUAAAGCUAAAGUGAGCUAUUCUGAUCACUUUUUGUCCAGCAUCAGUCUAUUUGUCUCUUUGUAAACUUUUAACAUUUUUGACUUCUUCUCAAGCACAUACCACGGGACUAAUAUCAGUUAAACUUGCCUCAAAGCAUGCUUGGGUAAAGAGAAUUCAAGUUUGUGCAUGAUGGAGGGCCAGGCUCCCCCCAAAGGGGAGAUAAUCAAAAAUAAUAUUGAACUAGGGUAGAGUCAUUUAAAAAUCUUCUUAAGAACCGCUAGGUCAGAAAAGUUGAAAUGUAUAUGAAUGCUCCCUGACAUAGUGUAGAUUCAAGUUCAAAUCAUGGCACCAAGGAGUAAGAUGGGAUCACAAUAGGGGAUCACAAAGGGUGGGAUCAUAUUAGAGGGUCAGAAGUAUUACAUAGUAAUAUAUAGGAGAAAUCUUCUCUUUUGGUAAAAUGAUGAACCUUGAGUAAAGGCAAUUGUGUAGCUACGACACAUCUAGGUUUUAUUUAAAAGCAGUAUACUAACGGAAAUAUAACAGUUAAAGGGAUCGACACUUCAGCUCAUUUUUAUACAAGUACUAUCUUAAAACAUGUAUCAAUAAAAUGAUAAAAAUCAUAUUGAUACUGUCAAUUUAUAACAUUGAACGCGUAAGUGUGCUGCUCUCAGCUACGCUUUCAAGAUCAUUUGGAAAUCAAGGAAAUUCUCAUGCUGCCUCAGACAUUUUAGAAUGACAGCAAAUUUGUUGUGUAGAAAGUUAUUUAAAUACCCCUUAAUGGAUCCACACUUACUUUUCAAGUAUGGGAUUAUUCUCUGCUUCUUAUAUUUAAGAAAUUAUAAGUCAGACCUCUUAUCAGAACAACUUCCUUAUCCCAAUUGACCAAACAAUGUUUUCAAACAAACAUGACGAGUUCAGAUAAAAAUAGCACUUACUUUUGAAGACCUGCAUGCGUUUCUCGUAGCUCUUGGUUACGGUCAUACUGAUCCACACGUAAAUUUUAGUUCAUGUAGGAGUUGUAUCUCGUUAUUCUCGCAUGGUAUGUCAAAAUACUGGGUUUACUCAUUUUCGCUUUCUCUCACUGGACAACAUGCUGCACUGUUUACUGUCGGUGGUCAUGCGUCUAAACAUCGAUAGGAGGAGGCUCAAUAUUUUUUAGCAAGGGUCGCCAAAAAGUAUUAAUUUUAUCCUUUAACCGAGAAUUCUCAACUUUAGAAAUGUUUCAAAAUUGCAAAGUUCAUAGAUUCUAUAAUACAACAAAAUUUGAGAAAACUUUAGGAAAAUUGUCAUUUUGUGAUUUUGGGGCUAAAUGGGCUCUAGUAUCUCUUUGAAGAACUGUAAACAGUAAAAUCUCAAGAUGUCAAAAAAUCGUGAACAACAAAGAAAAGAGUGUGGUCAGUGACCUAUCAUUGAUUGACUGAUCAUGUGUAAUUAACUCUCUGCAAUAAUCGUGGACAUUUUAUUAACACUGUUACACAUCACUGGAUAUUCUUCUAGAAAUCAACUAAAUCUGAUUUUAACAUAUUUUAUUGUCCAGAUGUUUUAACAACAGGAUUGAGCACCAGUUCCUAAACCCUAGAACUUCUCUCUGACUGAAGAAUUCAACAUGAACUGAUCGAUCAUAUAGAAUUUUUCAAGGUCUCUCAGAUUUCGGGAAAUGAAAGAUCUCUGAUUCACCAUUCGAAUGUUAUCAGCAAGUUGAAGUUUCUAUAAAGGUUUUGCAGCUGCAGUGAAUCUUCAAG